Malus domestica (apple) is the source of this 1024-nucleotide long non-coding RNA. RefSeq lists it as uncharacterized. Lineage: Eukaryota; Viridiplantae; Streptophyta; Magnoliopsida; Rosales; Rosaceae. The record is from RefSeq and is a predicted model, not a curated record.
CUUCUUCUUCGCCUCGCACCGAGCAACCACUACAAAUGGAAUCACUUGUUGUCAUAUUUCGGCAAGAUUUCAUGUCCUCAUCCACACUUUAAUUGUAGCUCAGACAAAGUGAUUAUUUUAGAUGUUCAGGUACUCUAGAAAAUGAUACAGAGCAUGUUGGAUCCUCUUGCAAAUCGGUGAAGGAAACCUGCGAUGAAAUUUCUGGUAUUAGAAAUGAUGCUCUUGAAAGGUUUUCAGAUCUUGAAAAUCCUGAUAUGGCCACCAUUCCACUGAGUGACAAUGCAUAGGGACAAUCUUUACAUAUACACAUCUGUGCAUGUCACUUGUUGGAAUUGGAGAAGCCUUCACCACGUGUUUAUUUCAUAGAUCACAAGUCUAUGCAAAACUGAACCGACAAGGAAAAGAAAGAAAAACAAAAGAAAGCUGCAUAUUUCCUCUCCCAUUUUUCAAGGUUAGCCUCCAUACGAAACCAGAAUAAAGAGAAAUCUUAGUGAAGUUAAAUUGGAGAGAAAUAUGGUAAAUCACCUACACAAAGCAAUUUCAAAUUCAUGGGUCUUUGCCAAAAGCAUAAAUUUGGGAUAUUUGGUUGCACAAUCUGUUCAAUUGCAGAGUAAGUCUGAUCAGCUAUGAUGGAUAUCUAUUUGGAGAUGAGACUUCGAUUGGAAUUGAGCGGAUAAUUAAAGAAGGCACAGAGGGGGUUUGCGGCAGCAAGUAGACCAAAAGAGCAAGGGAAAAUGUUGGCAAAUGGAGAAAGUAAUCAAGAUAAAAUAGAAGAGGAAAAAGAAAAGGGGACUAAUCAAUUAUUCUACAGAAGCAGCAAGGGACAUACAAAAGACAACAGCAGCAGCAGAGCACAAGGAUUUUUCAGCGUUUUUUCUAAACUCAAUUUUCUUCUCACAUUUGUUAUGAAUUAAAUAAUAUUUUCGAUUAUGUUUUGGGACUCCUUAACUAGGGCUACGAUGUAGCCAUGACUAUGAAUGCUUAUAUUCUCAAGUGAAUUAUUUCAAGUUUUCAGUUUCAUUGA